AAAUGUCAUUUGCAUUUUAUUUUCCUUUAUUUAUGUGAAUGUAAAUUGAUGUUCAUGUAAGAGCACUUCCUGCUGUACCACACCAAGGAGGAUGGAGGUGGAUCUAAUUAAUUAACCAGCUUUUCUUUGCUGCAGUGCCAGAGGUCUGGGGCAGCUCAUUCGAGCGAAGAACAUAAAGACAGUGGGAGAUCUCAGUACUCUGACAGCAUCAGAAAUCAAAACUCUUCCCAUCCGUUCUCCUAAAGUUUCCAAUGUUAAAAAAGCUCUUCGAGGAUAUCACGAGCAACAGGUAAAAUCUCGAGGGUGUGAAGAAAUUGGAGCGCUCGAAGAUGUGGAGAGAACAGUAAACAGUGCAGGGGAUAAAUCUCCUCCUGUGGAUGAGGAAAAACUUGCAACAGAUCUGGGUGAGCCCAUUGCCCUGAGCAGCAGCAGCCCACCCCCUGCAGAUCUUCUGAGCCAGCUGGAUGUGCUGGCUGCUCAGUUCACCUCCGAAGAUCUCCGCAGCUACCCCGGCAGCCGCCUGUUUGAGAUGCAGGAGAAACUUGCCAGCAUGACAGACUGCAUCAUGAGAACCCUGCGGUCCCGAUGGAGGUCACCACCCCACGACAGUGCUGAGUAGUUGCUUAGAAUUCCUGAGUAAGGAGGAUUUUCUUACAAGUUUUUCCACAAAGCGUAGUUUUCUUACUGGUGAGUUAAUCCUUGAGCUGUAUGUUUUGUACGAUAGAAGAUUUUUUAACACCUAUAUGAUCAAAAUGUAUCAUGCUUUUCUUCUCCCGUUUGUUCUUUUGUAACUUGUAGGAUAGUUUAUUAGAGAGAUUUCUAUUACAUUGCUAUGCAUAUCUCCUUCAGGUAGUGAAAGAAAACUUGAUCAAGUUGUGCAAUAGCAAAGACUGUGAAACCAAACUAACAGAGUAGUUAAAUUAUUUUUUUCAAAUCCGAAAAGUGUUCUUACUGCUGUAAACUCAAUCUAUAUGGCGAGAGACGGCUCUCACAGCUCUGCUCGUGCUGCCCGUGUCUGCUUCCUUCAGAGCUGCUGGAACCCUUCAGCACUUCUGUACUGAGCUCUGCUCAGUUCCCUGCUGACAGCGGGACAGCGUGCUGUUAUCAGAUCACACUAAAGCUGGUGACAAAAGCAACGUUGGGAGUGAGAGACUUUGCAGAACUUGUUGGCCUUUUCCUGUGUUCUAACAGCUUUGUUUGCAGCAGCUCUCCUGUGAUGGAGAAGACCCUUUUCCCUUUGUGGAAAUAAAUGAAUUUGACGUGGGUUCUUUGUAUAUUAUGUAUAGGCUUGUGAUUGCAAAUGUUGGUUAAUUUAUGGUUUUUAAUUGCACGGAAUGCACUGCUGCUUCUCAGAGACCUUCAGAGUUCUCCGUUUUUACUCCUGAAAUCUAAUUUGUAUAUAUUGGACACUUAUGGAAAGGAAUUGCUCCAGGUGUUAGAACUUCUUCAACAUGUGCAAAUAAAAGAGCAAUUAGUUUCCAAAGUUGUUAAUGUUAAUCUUUAAGCUUAAACGAAACAAAUUGCUUCUAAAUUGUUCAUCCCUUCCUCAGAGUUGCUUUGGAAUGUCAAGGUUAGGAGGAAGCUUGGAAGGCCAUCAGUGCUGCCUGAGGCAGGGGUGAGUGGGGCAGCAAAGACUGAGGUGAAUCUGAGCAGCAGGAUCCCAUCUGCACCCUGUUCUGCAGCUCAGAAAGUAAUGAGCAAGACAGAGAUGUCUUAAAGGACUAAUGUGAUCAUUACCAGUGGUGAGUGGCUGGAGGUUUUCUUGUUUCUCUGAUAACACUGCUUCCAAAUAUACUUCCUCAGGUUUAAUCAUCUUUUGGCUCCAGGAACAGAAAUGUUUUCCUUGCAAGCUGGCUGUGUACACCACACUAUGCUGUGAAUUCUCUUUAAACAAAGGCCUUGGGGUUAAAGUUGCAAAUCUUCCUGCUAUGAGCUCACUUUGUAAGCUUUGUCCAAGAUAGAAUUGAGUGUUUUCCUGCUUUCAUCUUUGGAGGCUGGCUGGUACCAUGUGCUACCAAACAAAUAACCACCAUGUCUGGGUGUGAAAUAAUUGUCUAGUUUUUUCACCUUGCUGGGACUGCUGCAUCCUGGAUUGCUCUCUUUCUGAAUGAAGCAGGAUUGUUUUAAGAUAAAUUUGCAGUCUUCAGAGUGAAGUAAAACAUCAAAUGCUGCGGAAACAUGAGCUUUAUUUAGUCACUAAUUUACAAGUAACAACUUUUGACCCCAGAACAGAAAAACAUCUGCAUAAGAGCUCA
Molecule: non-coding RNA, 2255 nt
Organism: Meleagris gallopavo (turkey)
Lineage: Eukaryota; Metazoa; Chordata; Aves; Galliformes; Phasianidae
Source: RefSeq, a predicted model, not a curated record